AGCGAACGCUGGCGGCGUGCUUAACACAUGCAAGUCGAGUGCGUAGCCCUUUGUAGCAAUACAGAGGGUGGGCGCACGGCGCACGGGUGAGUAACACGUGGGUAACCUGCCCUUCGGUGGGGAAUAACCCGCCGAAAGCGGGGCGUAAUUCCGCAUAACAUUCCGGGGACGACAUGUUCUCGGACUCAAAGGAGUGAUUCGCCGGAGGAGGGCCCGCGCCGAUUAGCUUGUUGGUAGGGUAACGGCCACCAAGGCUUUGAUCGGUAGCCGGUCUGAGAGGAUGGCCGGCCACACUGGAACUGAGACACGGUCCAGACUCCUACGGGAGGGCAGCAGUGGGGAAUCUUGCGCAAUGGGCGAAAGCCUGACGCAGCGACGCCGCGUGGGGA
This 389-nucleotide ribosomal RNA is filed under the name uncultured bacterium. RNAcentral describes it as "bacterial SSU rRNA". It matches the Rfam family "Bacterial small subunit ribosomal RNA", at positions 28 to 407 of the family's 1533-position model. The record is from RNAcentral.